GGGUCCACCCAUUGGUCAGGCUUAAUUGUCUGCACUGGUGAGAUGGAUCUCUACCUUCUGAGGAACUUUCAUGCCAUUUAUUUAGUGUGAUGGGAAAUCAGGACUGUUACUUUGAAAAAAUUAGAGUGUUUAAAGCAGGCUCACGCUUGAAUACGUUAGCAUGGAAUAACGAAAUAGGACGUUUGAUUUUAUUUUGUUGGUUUCUAGGAUCGACGUA
RNAcentral lists this ribosomal RNA (217 nucleotides) under Campeiostachys nutans. RNAcentral's name for it is "Elymus nutans partial small subunit ribosomal RNA". The stretch from base 47 to 217 matches the Rfam family "Eukaryotic small subunit ribosomal RNA", at positions 692 to 864 of the family's 1831-position model. Lineage: Eukaryota; Viridiplantae; Streptophyta; Magnoliopsida; Poales; Poaceae. The record is from RNAcentral.